CAGCAGCAGCCGCGGUAAUACGGAGGGUGCAAGCGUUAUCCGGAUUUAUUGGGUUUAAAGGGUCCGUAGGCGGAUCUGUAAGUCAGUGGUGAAAUCUCACAGCUUAACUGUGAAACUGCCAUUGAUACUGCAGGUCUUGAGUAAAUUUGAAGUGGCUGGAAUAAGUAGUGUAGCGGUGAAAUGCAUAGAUAUUACUUAGAACACCAAUUGCGAAGGCAGGUCACUAAGAUUUAACUGACGCUGAUGGACGAAAGCGUGGGGAGCGAACAGGAUUAGAGACCCCUGUAGUCACUGUCUCUUAUAC
RNAcentral lists this ribosomal RNA (304 nucleotides) under uncultured bacterium. RNAcentral describes it as "partial 16S ribosomal RNA". It matches the Rfam family "Bacterial small subunit ribosomal RNA", at positions 506 to 807 of the family's 1533-position model. The record is from RNAcentral.